Long non-coding RNA from Humulus lupulus (European hop), 930 nucleotides. RefSeq lists it as uncharacterized. Lineage: Eukaryota; Viridiplantae; Streptophyta; Magnoliopsida; Rosales; Cannabaceae. The transcript is spliced from 3 exons. The record is from RefSeq and is a predicted model, not a curated record.
CAUUUCCUCAAUCAUUCUUCGGUCUUCCCCUUCCGGGUCUCUCGGACCCUUCAAUCUUCAAUCAUUCUUCGUCUUUCCGUUCGUGGUCCGUUCGUGGUCUAUCUCUCUCGGUUUCCCGUAGACCUAUCCCUCUCGGUCGGGAAAUGAGAAAAUAAGCAGAAAUUUUUAAUAUUUCACUAACUCUCUAUUCCCCAAUUUCUAUUUCUACCAUUUACCACACAAAGACAACCCUAAUCAUUCUCUCUUCUGUCUUUUCCCCAUGGAUGGCUUGUUCUAUCCUCUGUAUCGUUUCCCACUGAUGGUACACAGAUAGUCAUAGCCAUUCUUCUUUUCUUUCACUAAAUUUUUUUUGCUCCAGUGCCUCCUCUUAGCCAUGGCUAGGGCUACCAUAAAGGUUUAUUUCUUCAUAAUGGAGAGGGGUUAGUCCUCUUCAAAAUCUCCGUUCCAGAAGUUUCUUCAUCGCCAGCAAAGAUUUUAAGGGUGGUGAUUUAUGGCUUGUUUGGAUAUUCAGAUGGAUGUAAAGAAUCAAUAUCAUGCAACUAUAUGGGUGCUCAAGAUAUGCAUUUUCGAGAAAAUGAGCAAAAACUUGCAAAAAAAGGAGGGAGGAGUUAUAGAUAGAAGCCAAGACAUUGCUCUUUUGCAAGAUUUCUACAAACUCUAUCGAGAGCAGAAUGACGUGGAAAUGUUACGAGAAGAAGAGUUGAAUUUAAGGGAGACUGGGGCUUUCAGUGGAGACUUGGGUGAGUAAGUAUUUCACCCAUUUGAACUCAAAUAGAUGGCACUUUUAUUUAUUUGCUUUUGUUCUGUUUAUGCUAAUACUGUAGUUUUAUUUUCUAAUCUACCUAUAAGGAGAAAAACAUAAUUAUGUGAAUGUGACUUUCAAUUUUCUCCUUUUGUUUAUUUUUGUCCCUUGGUUUAUUAUUAAUUUUA